CGGACGGGUGAGUAACACGUAGGCWACCUGCCCUCUGGACUGGGAUAACUACCGGAAACGGUAGCUAAUACCAGAUAAUUCACUUCUUCGCAUGGRGGAGUGAGGAAAGACGGAGCAAUCUGUCACCAGAGGAUGGGCCUGCGGCGCAUUARCUAGUUGGAGAGGUAACGGCUCCCCAAGGCGACGAUGCGUAGCCSACCUGAGAGGGUGAUCGGCCACACUGGGACUGASACACGGCCCAGACUCCUACGGGAGGCAGCAGUAGGGAAUCUUCCGCAAUGGGCGAAAGCCUGACGGAGCAACGCCGCGUGAGUGAUGAAGGUUUUCGGAUCG
RNAcentral lists this ribosomal RNA (333 nucleotides) under Martinezella tropici. RNAcentral's name for it is "bacterial SSU rRNA". It matches the Rfam family "Bacterial small subunit ribosomal RNA", at positions 99 to 425 of the family's 1533-position model. Lineage: Bacteria; Pseudomonadati; Pseudomonadota; Alphaproteobacteria; Hyphomicrobiales; Rhizobiaceae. The record is from RNAcentral.